AGUGAACGCUGGCGGUAGGCCUAACACAUACAAGUCGAACGGCAGCACAGUAAGAGCUUGCUCUUACGGGUGGCGAGUGGCGGACGGGUGAGGAAUACAUCGGAAUCUACUUUUUCGUGGGGGAUAUCGUAGGGAAACUUACGCUACUACCGCAUACGACCUACGGGUGAAAGCAGGGGAUCUUCGGACCUUGCGCGAUUGAUUGAGCCGAUGUCGAAUUAGCUAGUUGGCGAGGUAAAGGCCCACCAAGGCGACGAUACGUAGCUGGUCUGAGAGGAUGAUCAGCCACACUGGAACUGAGACACGGUCCAGACUCCUACGGGAGGCAGCAGUAGGGAAUAUUGGACAAUGGGCGCAAGCCUGAUCCAGCCAUACCGCGUGGGUGAAGAAGGCCUUCGGGUUGUAAAGCCCUGUUGUUGGGAAAGAAAAGCAGCAGGUUAAUACCCCGCUGUUCUGACGGUACCCAAAGAAUAAGCACCGGCUAACUUCGUG
RNAcentral lists this ribosomal RNA (492 nucleotides) under uncultured bacterium. Its description in RNAcentral is "partial 16S ribosomal RNA". It matches the Rfam family "Bacterial small subunit ribosomal RNA", at positions 29 to 507 of the family's 1533-position model. The record is from RNAcentral.